RNAcentral lists this ribosomal RNA (301 nucleotides) under uncultured bacterium. Its description in RNAcentral is "partial 16S ribosomal RNA". It matches the Rfam family "Bacterial small subunit ribosomal RNA", at positions 509 to 808 of the family's 1533-position model. The record is from RNAcentral.
CAGCGCCGCGGGAAUACGAAGGGUGCAAGCGUUACUCGGAAUUACUGGGCGUAAAGCGUGUGUAGGUGGUUGUUUAAGUCUGUCGUGAAAGCCCUGGGCUCAACCUGGGAAUUGCGAUGGAUACUGGGCGACUAGAGUGCGGUAGAGGAUAGAGGAAUUUCCGGUGUAGCAGUGAAAUGCGUAGAGAUCGGAAGGAACAUCUGUGGCGAAGGCGACUAUCUGGGCCAACACUGACACUGAGACACGAAAGCGUGGGGAGCAAACAGGAUUAGAUACCCCUGUAGUCCCUGUCUCUUAUACA